CGUGACCACCAGAGCUUCUUGGACACGAUGCUGCCCUUGUACCCCUGCCGGUUCCUGUUUGGGUUUCCUACCUACCCCUUCAGCUGAGUUUCUUCCUGUUCCCUUCCUCCCUGACUGUUCCACCUGCCUGCAGUCUGAUUGCAGCAAUGAGAAUCAGCUGCUGUAAUUGGCUCACCACCAGUAACCUGUUUGCAAUUCCACCUCCCAGCAUAUAAGCCAGCUCUGUCAUUCACUCUCUGCUCCACCAUGAGCUCUGAUGGCCUGCAUCAACUCGUGACCACCAGAGCUUCUUCGACAUGACUCUGCCCUCUAACCCCUGCCGGUUCCUGUUUGGGUUUCCUACCUACCCCUUCAGCUGAGUUUCUUCCUGUUAUUUUGCUUUCAGCCCUUCCUCCCUGACUGUUCCACCUGCCUGCAGUCUGAUUGCAGCAAUGAGAAUCAGCUGCCAUAAUUGGCUCACCACCAGUCACCUGUUUGCAAUUCCACCUCCCAGCAUAUAAGCCAGCUCUGUCAUUCACUCUCUGCUCCACCAUGAGCUCUGAUGGCCUGCAUCAACUCGUGACCACCGGAGCUUCUUGGACACGAUGCUGCCCUUGUACCCCUGCCGGUUCCUGUUUGGGUUUCCUACCUACCCCUUCAGUUGAGUUUCUUCCUAUUAUUUUGCUUUCAGCCCUUCCUCCCUGACUGUUCCACCUGCCUGCAGUCUGAUUGCAGCAAUGAGAAUCAGCUGCCAUAAUUGGCUCACCACCAGUCACCUGUUUGCAAUUCCACCUCCCAGCAUAUAAGCCAGCUCUGUCAUUCACUCUCUGCUCCACCAUGAGCUCUGAUGGCCUGCAUCAACUCGUGACCACCAGAGCUUCUUGGACACGAUGCUGCCCUUGUACCCCUGCCGGUUCCUGUUUGGGUUUCCUACCUACCCCUUCAGCUGAGUUUCUU
Molecule: long non-coding RNA, 936 nt
Organism: Amphiprion ocellaris (clown anemonefish)
Lineage: Eukaryota; Metazoa; Chordata; Actinopteri; Pomacentridae
Source: Ensembl